RNAcentral lists this ribosomal RNA (479 nucleotides) under uncultured bacterium. RNAcentral's name for it is "partial 16S ribosomal RNA". It matches the Rfam family "Bacterial small subunit ribosomal RNA", at positions 28 to 507 of the family's 1533-position model. The record is from RNAcentral.
GAUGAACGCUAGCGGGAGGCCUAACACAUGCAAGCCGAGCGGUAGAGUUUCUUCGGAAACUUGAGAGCGGCGCACGGGUGCGUAACACGUGUGCAACCUACCUUUAUCUGGGGGAUAGCCUUUCGAAAGGAAGAUUAAUACCCCAUAAUAUAAUGAUUGGCAUCAAUUAUUAUUGAAAACUCCGGUGGAUAGAGAUGGGCACGCGCAAGAUUAGAUAGUUGGUGAGGUAACGGCUCACCAAGUCAAUGAUCUUUAGGGGUCCUGAGAGGGAGAUCCCCCACACUGGUACUGAGACACGGACCAGACUCCUACGGGAGGCAGCAGUGAGGAAUAUUGGACAAUGGGUGAGAGCCUGAUCCAGCCAUCCCGCGUGAAGGAGGACGGUCCUAUGGAUUGUAAACUUCUUUUGUACAGGGAUAAACCUACUCUCGUGAGGGUAGCUGAAGGUACUGUAAGAAUAAGCACCGGCUAACUCCGUG